Molecule: unclassified non-coding RNA, 17 nt
Filed under: Diplostomum pseudospathaceum
Lineage: Eukaryota; Metazoa; Platyhelminthes; Trematoda; Diplostomida; Diplostomidae
Also listed under: 3 other names
Description: external transcribed spacer
Source: RNAcentral
GAGCUAGACUCUCCCUC